GGACCUGACUGCUAUCGGAUUGAUACUAAGCCAUGCGAGUCAUUGUAGUAAUACAAGGCAGACGGCUCAGUAACGCGUAGUCAACCUAACCUAUGGACGGGAAUAACCUCGGGAAACUGAGUAUAAUGCCCGAUAGAACAUUAUACCUGGAAUGGUUUAUGUUCCAAAUGAUUUAUCGCCGUAGGAUGGGACUGCGGCCUAUCAGUUUGUUGGUGAGGUAAUGGCCCACCAAGACUAUUACAGGUACGGGCUCUGAGAGGAGUAGCCCGGAGAUGGGUACUGAGACACGGACCCAGGCCCUAUGGGGCGCAGCAGGCGAGAAAACUUUGCAAUGUGCGAAAGCACGACAAGGUUAAUCCGAGUGGUUUCUGCUAAAGGAACCUUUUGUCGGUCCUAGAAACACCGAUGAAUAAGGGGUGGGCAAGUUCUGGUGU
This 434-nucleotide ribosomal RNA is filed under the name uncultured archaeon. Its description in RNAcentral is "bacterial SSU rRNA". It matches the Rfam family "Archaeal small subunit ribosomal RNA", at positions 19 to 458 of the family's 1478-position model. The record is from RNAcentral.